AGCCACUCAAUUUUAUUUUACUUCUGUAACUUUUUUUUCUUUAUGUUACAGAAGAAUAUAUAUAUUAAAGACUGUCGCCUUUGUUUCUUUAAUUAACUCUGCUGCUAUCAACACCAGGUCAAGAUUUUAAACAAAUUGAUUAUGAUUAUCAAUGGGCCAACCACUGGUUCACUAUAUUCCUGAUAAUGAAAAUGAAAUGCCAAUAGCUUGAGGUACAUCAGUGAUUUUUACAUAUAACAAUGGAGUGCCAAGUAGAAAAACUUGAAGGUUUUCAACACCU
Long non-coding RNA from Octopus sinensis (East Asian common octopus), 280 nucleotides. RefSeq lists it as uncharacterized. NCBI's taxonomy places the organism in Eukaryota, Metazoa, Mollusca, Cephalopoda, Octopoda, Octopodidae. The record is from RefSeq and is a predicted model, not a curated record. The transcript has 3 exons.